RNAcentral lists this signal recognition particle RNA (118 nucleotides) under Pan paniscus (pygmy chimpanzee). RNAcentral's name for it is "Metazoan signal recognition particle RNA". It matches the Rfam family "Metazoan signal recognition particle RNA". From Rfam's summary of the family: The signal recognition particle (SRP) is a universally conserved ribonucleoprotein. It is involved in the co-translational targeting of proteins to membranes. RNAcentral also lists the same sequence under 1 other name. Lineage: Eukaryota; Metazoa; Chordata; Mammalia; Primates; Hominidae. The record is from Rfam by way of RNAcentral.
GCUGGGUGUGGUAGCUCACACCUGUAAUCCUAGCACUGUAGGAGGCUGAGGCAGGAGGAUCCCUUGAGCUCAGGAGUUUUGAGACCAGCCUGGGCAACAUAGGGAGACCUUGUCUCUA